UAGACCAAUGUAUAAUGGCAGUCAUUAUUUAUUAAAGAAACUCGCUUUAUAAUCGUAAACACCCGUUAAAUUUAACUUUACACUAAAGCCUAUAUACCGCCGCUCAGAUUUAAUACAAAAUCAAAGCUUAUAAACAAGAAAAAUCAGGUCAAGGUGUAGCUAAUUAUAGAGUAAAAGUAAGUUACACUAAAAAUAAUUUAAGAAAGAAAACUAAAAAUUAAACAGAAAAAGGAAUUUAUAUGUACAUACAGACCAAAAUUCAA
Molecule: ribosomal RNA, 263 nt
Filed under: Pholcus domingo
Lineage: Eukaryota; Metazoa; Arthropoda; Arachnida; Araneae; Pholcidae
Description: partial 12S ribosomal RNA
Source: RNAcentral